Molecule: ribosomal RNA, 493 nt
Filed under: uncultured bacterium
Lineage: Bacteria
Description: partial 16S ribosomal RNA
Rfam family: Bacterial small subunit ribosomal RNA
Source: RNAcentral
AUUGAACGCUGGCGGCAUGCCUUACACAUGCAAGUCGAACGGUAACAGGUUAAGCUGACGAGUGGCGAACGGGUGAGUAAUGCAUCGGAACGUGCCCGAUCGUGGGGGAUAACGCAGCGAAAGCUGCGCUAAUACCGCAUACGAUCUGAGGAUGAAAGCAGGGGACCGUAAGGCCUCGCGCGAUCGGAGCGGCCGAUGUCAGAUUAGGUAGUUGGUGGGGUAAAGGCUCACCAAGCAAACGAUCUGUAGCUGGUCUGAGAGGACGACUAGCCACGAUGGGACUGAGACACGGCCCAGACUCCUACGGGAGGCAGCAGUGGGGAAUUUUGGACAAUGGGCGAAAGCUUGAUCCAGCAAUGCCGCGUGAAGGAAGAAGGCCUUCGGGUUGUAAACUGCUUUUGUACGGAGCGAAAAGGUUCUCGCUAAUACAGAGGGCUCAUGACGGUACCGUAAGAAUAAGCACCGGCUAACUACGUGCCAGCCGCCGCCGUAA